This 343-nucleotide long non-coding RNA is filed under the name Vigna radiata. RNAcentral's name for it is "long non-coding RNA (VRAD_LNC003434)". Lineage: Eukaryota; Viridiplantae; Streptophyta; Magnoliopsida; Fabales; Fabaceae. The record is from RNAcentral.
UGGUGAUAAUCUUACCAACGUUCACAUCCAUUUGCCUCAACAUACAAUAAAUGACCAGAAUCCGAUGCAAUGUGAUGUCAGAAACAUGAGAGCAUGGCUGGAUGUUGGCAUGAGUAAAUGUCAUCUAGUACUUGGUUAGGGGAGCCAAAUCUGCCUAAGGAUGUUAACUGGUGCUCCAUUAGGGUUUCUCUGAAAAUGCCUCCCAGGGAUGCACAACACUCUCUCAAUAUCUUCAUAAUCCUUGGCCUCCCCAAGUAUAGCUGCAUACCUACACUGCUCUCCUGGCCACUCAGUCCCUAAGAAAGCGUUAAUGGUAUCAGGGUCAUAGCUGAUCAAAUGCCCC